This 619-nucleotide ribosomal RNA is filed under the name Trechus pulchellus. RNAcentral describes it as "SSU rRNA". It matches the Rfam family "Eukaryotic small subunit ribosomal RNA", at positions 14 to 603 of the family's 1831-position model. The record is from RNAcentral. Lineage: Eukaryota; Metazoa; Arthropoda; Insecta; Coleoptera; Carabidae.
CUGCCAGUAGUCAUAUGCUUGUCUCAAAGAUUAAGCCAUGCAUGUCUCAGUACAAGCCAUAUUAAGGUGAAACCGCGAAAGGCUCAUUAAAUCAGUUAUGGUUCCUUAGAUCGUACCCACAUUUACUUGGAUAACUGUGGUAAUUCUAGAGCUAAUACAUGCAAACAGAGCUCCGACCGGAGACGGAAGGAGUGCUUUUAUUAGAUCAAAACCAAUCGGCGGCAAUUGNGUUUACUUAAUUGUUCGUCGCACUAUUUGGUGACUCUGAAUAACUUUUGGCUGAUCGCACGGUCUCGCACCGGCGACGCAUCUUUCAAAUGUCUGCCUUAUCAACUGUCGAUGGUAGGUUCUGCGCCUACCAUGGUUGUAACGGGUAACGGGGAAUUAGGGUUCGAUUCCGGAGAGGGAGCCUGAGAAACGGCUACCACAUCCAAGGAAGGCAGCAGGCGCGCAAAUUACCCACUCCCGGCACGGGGAGGUAGUGACGAAAAAUAACGAUACGGGACUCAUCCGAGGCCCCGUAAUCGGAAUGAGUACACUUUAAAUCCUUUAACAAGGACCAAUUGGAGGGUAAGUCUGGUGCCAGCAGCCGCGGUAAUUCCAGCUCCAAUAGCGUAUA